GAAUCCGAGAGAUUAUGAUGGAGGUAUAUGAAUGCACUCCCUUUAUAAACUCGUAUUUUCUCCUUUACUUUCUCUCUCUUCACCCUGGGAUCUCUAUAACUUCUCCGACCACCCCGAACACUUCUCUGACCUCCCAGAACCACCCUCAAACCCAGGUUUCCGGUUGAUCUUCAACCGGAACCUUCAAACCUUCAAACCCUUUCCCCAAAAAACUACACUUACCUUUAUACACGGGUUCCCCGAAUGAACCCUAGGGUUCAUAUGAUGAACCCUAAUUAAAUCUUCAAUCCAGAAACCCCAAACUAAAGAAUGCUAACCUCCAUCCCUAGGAACCCUAACUUGGCUUUAUCAUGAACCUUAAGAACCCUAACCUACGAAGAACCCUAACCCUAGUUGCUGCCCAUAAAUCCCUAAUUUUCCCUAUAUCAAACCUUGAACCACCGAUUUACCCUUUUUGAACAUAAAUCGAACAAUAACAACCCCCAUAUUUCACAAUUCAACGCAAACAUAUUCCUGCAAAAACAUUGAUAUGCAUACGAAACAAGUAAACAAAGUACUCAAGAGCUCACAACCAACCUUCUGAAUGGAGAAUUAUUCUGGUUAAGAGGUACAAAAGUUGGGGUCUAACUUAGAAGAAUUAGGGUUUCAAUGUGAAACCCUAAAUCUCAAAUUAAUUUAAGCUUUAUGUGCGGGUUUGGUUUGCAGCAAUGAAGAUUCCUUUCUUAGAGUUGUUUUUUUUCUUUUCGUGUUUUAGAAAUAGGUUUAUAUAGAUUAAUUUUUUAGGUUUAGAACUUAAUUAGAUUAUCUGAUUUAGGAAGUUUAGAUUUGAUUGGGAUCUGAUUGAGUUAGAUUUGAUUGUAAUUUUGAUUUUGUUUAGAAAUAGAAAUUAGGUUUGAAUUGUAACAGCAAUGUGAUGUAUUUGGUCCAUAUUUGAUUCGUGAUUUCAAUGUAAGUUGAAAGUUUGGAUGGAAUUGAAAAUUGCAGUUUUUUUAA
This is a long non-coding RNA of Lathyrus oleraceus (garden pea), 993 nucleotides long. RefSeq lists it as uncharacterized. The record is from RefSeq and is a predicted model, not a curated record. NCBI's taxonomy places the organism in Eukaryota, Viridiplantae, Streptophyta, Magnoliopsida, Fabales, Fabaceae. The transcript is spliced from 2 exons.